Molecule: ribosomal RNA, 542 nt
Filed under: uncultured Terrimonas sp.
Lineage: Bacteria; Pseudomonadati; Bacteroidota; Chitinophagia; Chitinophagales; Chitinophagaceae
Description: bacterial SSU rRNA
Rfam family: Bacterial small subunit ribosomal RNA
Source: RNAcentral
UAAGGAAUAUUGGUCAAUGGACGCAAGUCUGAACCAGCCAUGCCGCGUGAAGGAUGAAGGUCCUCUGGAUUGUAAACUUCUUUUAUAUGGGACGAAAAAGGGCUUUUCCAAGUCAACUGACGGUACCAUAUGAAUAAGCACCGGCUAACUCCGUGCCAGCAGCCGCGGUAAUACGGAGGGUGCAAGCGUUAUCCGGAUUCACUGGGUUUAAAGGGUGCGUAGGUGGGUUGGUAAGUCAGUGGUGAAAUCCCCGAGCUUAACUCGGGAACUGCCAUUGAUACUAUCAGUCUUGAAUACCGUGGAGGUCAGCGGAAUAUGUCAUGUAGCGGUGAAAUGCUUAGAUAUGACAUAGAACACCAAUUGCGAAGGCAGCUGGCUACACGAAUAUUGACACUGAGGCACGAAAGCGUGGGGAUCAAACAGGAUUAGAUACCCUGGUAGUCCACGCCCUAAACUAUGGAUACUCGACAUACGCGGUACACUGUGUGUGUCUGAGCGAAAGCAUUAAGUAUCCCACCUGGAAAGUACGAUCGCAAGAUUGC